Molecule: ribosomal RNA, 305 nt
Filed under: uncultured bacterium
Lineage: Bacteria
Description: bacterial SSU rRNA
Rfam family: Bacterial small subunit ribosomal RNA
Source: RNAcentral
GCCUACGGGAGGCAGCAGUAGGGAAUCUUCCACAAUGGGCGAAAGCCUGAUGGAGCAACGCCGCGUGGGUGAAGAAGGUCUUCGGAUCGUAAAACCCUGUUGUUAGAGAAGAAAGUGCGUGAGAGUAACUGUUCACGUCUCGACGGUAUCUAACCAGAAAGCCACGGCUAACUACGUGCCAGCAGCCGCGGUAAUACGUAGGUGGCAAGCGUUAUCCGGAUUUAUUGGGCGUAAAGGGAACGCAGGCGGUCUUUUAAGUCUGAUGUGGAAGCCUUCGGCUUAACCGGAGUAGUGCAUUGGAAACU